This is an RNA transcript of Papaver somniferum (opium poppy), 2678 nucleotides long. It is a transcript of the gene named adenylate kinase 5, chloroplastic-like, with no coding region annotated. Lineage: Eukaryota; Viridiplantae; Streptophyta; Magnoliopsida; Ranunculales; Papaveraceae. The transcript is spliced from 21 exons. The record is from RefSeq and is a predicted model, not a curated record.
UACUGUUGUUCCAUUUUCCCAUUCUCUCUGGACCCCCUUUUAAAAAAAUAUAUUAUUACUCAGAGAAAUCAGUAUAUGCCACCAAAAAAUGGUGGCGCUAACCUCAGUGAUAUCAAUUCACUGCCACAACAACAAUAAUGGCGCCUUUUCAUUUCCUCCUGUUACUGCAUGUCUACGUCUUUCUUCAUUUUCUUCAAUAUCUUCUUCCACUCGUUCUUCUUCUAUCUCUCAAUCAUCAUCAAACAUCUCCUCUCAAUUUCGUUCAAAGAUAAUAAACCCUAAAUCUAAGGGAUUUGGAGUGAGAUGUUUGGCAAGUAACGAGCCGUUGAAGGUGAUGAUAUCUGGAGCACCAGCAUCAGGCAAAGGAACUCAGGGUGAAUUGAUCGUUCAGAAGUAUGGAUUGGUGCACAUAUCAACUGGAGAUUUACUAAGAGCUGAAGUAUCAUCCGGGACUGAAAUUGGAAAUAAAGCUAAAGAAUACAUGGACAAUGGAUGUCUGGUUCCUGAUGAAAUCGUCACAGCGAUGGUGACAUCAAGAUUAUCCAGAGAAGAUGCAAAGACGAAUGGGUGGCUACUUGAUGGAUACCCACGAAGUGCUGAGCAGGCUCAAAGUCUUGAAAAGCUCUUGAUUAGACCAGACAUAUACGUUUUCUUAGAUGUUCCUGAUGAAAUUCUAAUCGACAGAUGCGUUGGGAGACGGUUGGAUCCAGUGACUGGGAAAAUUUACCACAUUAAAAACUUCCCUCCGGAAACAGAUGAAAUUAAGGCCAGGAUUAUCACUCGUGCCGAUGACACUCAUGAAAAGGCUAAAGCACGCGUAGAAACAUACAAGCGAAAUGCUGAAUCUAUCACUUCAACAUACUCGGACAUACUGAAUAAGAUUGAUGGAAAUCGUCAGAAAGUAGUAGUUUUUCAGGAAAUAGACUCUGUGCUUUCACAAGUCAAGAAGGACAAGUUAAAGAUGAUAGCCGCAGGAAAAGCAGUAAGCGACGUUCAGAUAAAGGCGUCGUCCACAAAACAGGAUAACUGGAGAGGUAUUCCUACCCGGUUAAAUAACAUCCCUCAUUCUAGAGAAAUAAGGGAAUAUUUCUACGAUGAUGUUCUGCAAGCUACUCAAAGGGCUAUAGCUGAUGGGAAAACUCGUUUGAAGGUGGCGAUCACUAUUCCAGAACUAAACCCCGAAAUGGAUGUCUAUCGAAUUGGUACUUUAAUGGAACUCGUUCGAGUUCUUGCUCUUUCAUUUGCUGAUGAUGGGAAGCGUGUGAAGGUCUGUGUUCAAGGAUCUAUGGGAGUAGGUGCGCUUGCUGGGAUGCCACUGCAGCUAGCCGGAACACGUCAGAUUUUGGAGUACAUGGAUUGGGGGGAGGAUGGGGCCCUGGGAAAUUUCAUCACAAUCGGUUCGAUAGGUGGCAAAGAGGUUACUGAGCAGGAUGACAUAUUUAUUCUUGUGGCUCCCCAAAAUGCUGUCGGAAAUUGUAUAAUUGAUGAUUUGAGGGCUAUGACCGAUGCUGCCGGGAGCCGUCCUGUCAUUAUUGUCAACCCUCGGCUCAAGGAUUUACCAGCUUCAAGUGGCAUUAUGCAAACAAUGGGAAGGGAUAAAAGACUGGAGUAUGCAGCAUCUUUUGAAAAUUGCUAUGCCUUUCGGCUCCUUUUUUAUGCCGGGACACAGUAUCCAAUCAUGGGUGCUCUGAGGAUGGCUUACCCAUACCGCUACGAAGUCUACAAGAGGGUGGAUGAAUCCCCUGGUAAAGAGAAGUACUUUUUCCUGGCGACAUUCUUGAAUAAACCAGGGGUUGAUGAAAUUAAUGAUGCAUUUGAAGGAAAGCCUAGAAACCGAGAAAAGGAAUCCUCAGGAAUUUGGGGUUUCUUGAGCAGUGUCCUUGGAGUGUAAUCGAAACUGUACAUACGAUUCCAGGCCUAGCGUGGAGGAGGCUUGAUAAACCUGCAUUCUUAACAAGUUGGAAUGUGAAAGACGCAUCCAGUGAAAUUUUCCGUUUUUUUUUCUUCCAUAAGAAAGAAAAUCUCAGCUCCCCUCUUAGGCGUUGCAUCAUAGAUAAUUAUUCUGAUACACACUCAAUUCUAAGGGCUGUGGCACUCAGUGCAGAGCAGGAUUGAGACAUUUUGUUCAAGUUAACCUCACAUUUUGUUUAAGCUAUUUCCCCUCACCCUGUGGCACUAGUGGUGGAAAUUCCCCACUGCUUCCUCUCCCAUAGAAGUGUAGGCGGUGUCUCACCCAAUUCAUGUCCGUGGUCUAGUUGGAUAAUUUUUUUAGUCUAGUCAAAUAAGUUACUAUACAUCAAUCUACCAAUUAUUGGUUUGGUGUCCCUCUCAGAGAUGGAUUUUAGUCCUCGAUAGAAACAAUGCAAAACCAAAUUCAUAAGCAUUUAAGUAAGGAUUAGGUUCAUUAACAAUUAAAGUGUUGGGUUUUCUGAAUUCGAGGAAAAUAAUUAAAUUUAGCAAUAAACGUAUGGCCAAUGCAAAUAUGCUCAUGUUGUGUGCAAAAUUGCGAUAUUGACUUUCAAGGCAAAGUGUUUGCAGUUUGCACUUUGCAAGGAAAGAGGGAAUUGAUUCUACAAGUUGAAGUCUUUUUCUUUCUUUCUUUUCCUACCUUGCAUUUUAUCACUUGGAGGAAAAGAUAGUGCCGAAAUUGUAAGAUGAUGUAAUUCUAACGUUGUCAA